UAACUAUGCACGUGUACAAAAUCUGAUGAAUGUCAUUGGAUGCAGUAUAAAAUCAUUGAUUGCGUUGGUCUUUGCAGGUGUGGGGUGUGCCUGGACUUUACCAAGGUGGCCAGGUGCCAGGACAAGGGUUUGGUGGUCGUGGAGUGUUGCCCGGUGUGGCCACUGGGAACGGACUCAAUCCCAAAUCAUUGCCAGGUGGAGGACAGCAGGGACCAGGAGGCUCGGGUCGUGUUGGUUAUGGAGGACCAAUGCAGCCAGGAGUAUUCCAUGGAUACCCACUCAAAACACCCAAAACACAAGGUGGCUAUGGAGCAAAAGUUGGAGGAGCUGGAGGCAAACUUCCAUUUGGAUAUGGAGGCUUUGGUGGUGGUGGUGGAGCAGGCCUUCCUGGUGGAAAAGGUGGUCCUGGAUCCAAGCCUGGAUACCCCAUUGGAACUGGUGUUGGGACAGGAGGUCUUAACCCGGCCCAGGCUCAGGCUAAAGCUGCUAAAUAUGGUGCUGGUCCUGGUUUGGGUGGUGUGCCUGGUGCAGGUGGAGCUUACCCUGGAGCAGGAGGAGCUUACCCUGGAGCAGGAGGAGCUUACCCUGGAGGAGUCCCAGGAGGUGCGGGUGGGGUCCCAGGUCUUGGAUCAGUAGCAGGAGGAGCAGGAGGAGUACCUGGAUGGUUACCCGCAGGAGCUGGAGGAUAUAACCCUGCUGCGGCCAAAGCUGCUAAAUAUGGAGUUCCAGGGGGUGCAGGUGCAGGCCUAGGAGCUGGAGGAUUUGGUGGGGUACCAGGAGGAGGAGGAGGGGGUGUACCUGGGGCCGGAGGACUCCCAGGAGGAGGUGCAGGCAGGCUCCCAGGUGCUGGCUCAGUCGCAGGAGGAGCAGGAGGAGUACCUGGGGCUGGAGGAUAUAAUCCUGCUGCGGCCAAAGCCGCUAAAUAUGGAGUUCCAGGAGGAGCAGGUGCAGGGUUAGGAGGAGCUGGAGGCUAUGGAGCGGGAGCCAGGCCUCCCUAUUACGGUGUUCCAGGGGGUGCUGGAUUUGGGGGAGCAGGAGCUUUUCCAGGGUCUGGAGGAUUCAACCCUGCCGCCGCCGCCAAAGCUGCUAAAUAUGGGGUCCCAGGAGGUACAGGGGCAGGCCUAGGAGCUGGAGGUCUUGGAGGAACAGGAGGGGUACCAGCAGGAGGAGCUGGGGCUGGAGGUGUCCCCGGAGGUGCAGGAGCAGGCCUAGGAGCAGGAGGAGUACCAGGAGGAGGAGCAGGGGGGGUACCUGGGGCUGGAGGAUAUAAUCCUGCUGCAGCCAAAGCAGCUAAAUAUGGAGUUCCAGGAGGUACAGGAGCAAGCCUAGGAGCUGGAGGACUUGGAGGAGGAUAUGGAGGAGCAGGAGGGGCUGGGGCUGGAGGAUAUAACCCUGCUGCGGCCAAAGCUGCUAAAUAUGGAGUUCCCGGAGGUGCAGGAGCAGGCCUAGGAGCUGGGGGAGCAGGAGGAGUACCAGGAGGAGGAGCAGGGGGUGUACCUGGGGCUGGAGGAUAUUAUCCCGCUGCGGCCAAAGCUGCUAAAUAUGGAGUUCCAGGAGGCCUAGGAACAGGCUUAGGAGGAGGAGGACUUGGAGGAGUACAGGGAGGAGUACCUGGAGGAGGAGCAGGGGGUGUACCUGGGGCUGGAGGAUAUAAUCCUGCUGCAGCCAAAGCUGCUAAAUAUGGUCAGGGGGCUGCUGGUGGGCCAGGGGGUGGAUAUGGUGGCGUGCCUGCUGGAGGAUAUCCCAGGCCUGGGGGCUAUGGGGGGUAUGGAGGGGCAGGAGCUGGAGGGUAUAAUCCUGCUGUGGCCAAAGCUGCUAAAUAUGUCCCAGGAGCUGGAGGAGCAGGCCUAGGAGCUGGAGGAGCAGGCCUAGGAGGAGCAGGAGGAGUACCAGGGCCUGGGGCUGGACCAGGAUAUGGAGGCUAUGGAGGAUAUGGAGGGGUACCAGCAGGAGGGGCUGCUGCUGCGGCCAAAGCUGCUAAAUAUGGAGUACCAGGAGGUGCAGGAGCAGGCCUUGGAGCUGGAGGACUUGGAGGAGCAGGAGGAGUACCAGGGGCUGGAGGAUAUAACCCUGCAGUGGCCAAAGCGGCUAAAUAUGGAGUCCCCGGAGGUGCAGGAGCAGGCAUAAGAGCUGGAGGAACAGGAGGAUUACCAGGAGGAGGAGCAGGGGGUGUACCUGGGGCUGGAGGAUAUAAUCCCGCUGCAGCCAAAGCUGCUAAAUAUGGAGUCCCAGGAGGUGUAGGAACAGGCCUAGGAGCAGGAGGACUUGGAGGAGGAGGACAGGGAGGAGUACCUGGACAAGUAGGAGCUGGAGGAUAUGAUCCCGCAGCCAAAGCUGCUAAAUAUGGUAUGCCAAGUGGGGCGGGCAUCGGUGGAGAAGGUGUGCCAGCACCUAUAGCGACUCCAAGACCAGGUGUGGGCGUGGGUGGUGGUGUUGGAGGAACUGCCAUUGAGCGCACUGACGUACCAGUGGGCACAGGGAUACCUAUCGCAGGCAAACCAGAUCCCACACCUAUUGGCACAGAGGCCCCAGAGCCAGAGCCCAGUGCCACAGGAGUAACUGGAGUUGGGGCUGGGGUUCUUCAACCUAGUGUUGGUACAGGCCCAGCUCAGCCUGGUGUGGGUGUCGGAGCAGGUGGCAAAGCUCCUAAACCCCCUGGUGCAGGGGGAUACCCGUAUGGUGGUUAUGGACAGGGACAACUCCGGUAUGGUCAAGGUUAUGGACAGGGUGCUGGUGGAUAUCCCUAUGGAGGAGGACAUGGAAAUCCAUACGGAGCAGGAGCUGGACAACUUCCUGGAGCCAAGCCCCUGAAACCUCCAGUUGUGGGAGGAGCAGGUGGUGUGGCUGGAGGAGCAGGUAUCCCUCUUACUGGAGCAGGUGGUGGUGCAGGGGGAUACCCGUAUGGUUAUGGUCAAGGUGGUUAUGGACAGGGACAGGGUGUGAGGUAUCCCACUGGUGUUGGUCUGGGGGCAGGAGCAGGUCAAAAAGCACCCAAACCCCCAGGUUAUGGUAACCUAGGUGCUGGUGGUGCUGGUUAUAAUCCAGGUGCUGGUGCGGUCCCAGGUUACGGCGGUGGCUACCCACAACAACAGGGUUACCCACAGCAAGGUGGCAGCUACCCACAACAACCCUACCCAGGAGCAUAUGGAGCAGGCCAGACGGCACCACUGACUCCUCAACAAGCCAAAGCAGCCAAGUAUGGCCCACUCCAGGGCUUCCUUGGUGGAGCAGGAGGAGGAGGCUACAGACCAGGAGGAGUUGCUGCUGGAUGCCAAAGCAAAUACUGUGGAAGGCAGAAGUAGAGGAUGUUCUUCAGAAGAAGUUGAACCUCAAGAAACAAUGGUGCUACUGCAUGAUCUAGAAUGUACAUUUUAUAUGCACAAAAUCCCCCAUUACAGUAUGUAAAGAUAUGUUGUACUUUAUUUGACUCAAUAUAUUUUUUAUACAAACCCACCGACCCAGACUUUUGCACACAUUUGAUGUGACUUAGUGUUUUUGAUUGUGCCUUUAUCAUUGUUCAUUGUGUUCAUCAGCUCUUACUGACAUGUCUGCGAUGCUCCCUUUUAGUAGUUACCAAGUGUUUGUAUGUGCAUGCAUGUGUGUGGGCGUGGAUGUGUGGCUGUGUGUCUCUCUAUGUGCUUGUGAGUUUUCACAUGUUGCCAGAGAUGUUUGGGUAUAUAGGAGAAUAUGAAAGAUUAUCCAACUAGAGCCAUUCAGCAUGCUUUUAAUGCAGAGAAGUGCUCCAAGUCAAAACCAGCACCAUUCCUGUAACUGUACAUCCCUCUCCAUGUGCUUAGUGUCUGUGUGUACCAAAGUUGGAGAUCUUCACAUACUGACAUCUCAAACCAAGGGUUGAGCUUCAAGAGGUGUGGUUGGUAAAGUGCUGAUAAACUUUGGCCAUGUAUCUUCAGAACUGCCUCCUCUGGCUUUCUAUCAUCUCUGCUGCUAUUUAUAGCCCUGGGUGAAAUAGCAGUGGCAUAGCGCGUGUGUGUGGGCACAGGUUUCACAGUCCAUCUGCCAUCAGCAACUUUGACUAUAUUUUAAGUGCCAUGGUGUAAGUAGCCUUCUUGCCUUGAUUUCUGACAAACUUGGGAAGUAUGAAGAGCAGGUGUUGCUCUGAAUGUGAUAAAGCUGAUGACAAUCAAUCCAAAGGUGUUCAAAAGAUUUGUAGGUGAUAUCUUCAGUGAUAUUCAUAUCAUACAUUGUGUUGGUUUGUACCCAAGUCCUUUCAAAUGGUGUGUUUUGUUUUUUAAAUGAUUUGUAUGUUUUAAGUUUUACAAACAUGUAAAAGUAAAACUGAAAUCCUUUCGAUACUGCUCUGGCAUGUCUUGUACGUUAUGUAUGUAUGUAUUGAACAUUUUGUUUUAUUAAUUACUUAUCAUUUUUCUGGUGUCCAAGAUUAAGUGCCUAGAAUGUUAUGCAUAUCUGUAAUCAAUCUAGUUUCACAUGCAGUUAUAGUUUCAUUUAUGCAAAUUGUCGCUCAUUAUUCAAGUUUCAAAUGUUUCCGCUCAUGAAAGUAGACUAUCACCAUAUUUGUGUAAUCUUGAAUAAGGCAAAAAAUGUUUGUUAAAAAAAAAUAUAUAUUUGGGUAAUGCAUUUAAUCACUGUUGAGAAUUUUAAUAUGUGUCUGUGUGUAGGCUAUAGCCCCUAGUCUGUGUAAAUUGUGAGAGUGAGCUCCCAUUUCACUCUUUACUUGAGUUAGUUACAGUUGAAUAAGACUCACUAGACAUUACUGACCAAAGAUUGAUUCGCUCUGUUAUAAAGUUACACUACGAUGUCUCUUUAGGGAUUGUGUGUACUGUAUGUUGUAGUAAUUGCCCUAGGUUAUCAUGACUCUCACUCGCUUCAGUUUUUGUAGCCUACUCGUGAGGCUUUUUCUGAACUGUGUGUGAGCCGCUCCUCUGCCGUGCGGUGGGAUAGUAUUCAUCUUAUUUAAAUGGAAAAAGGAGGAACGAUGGGGUUUUGCACUUUUAUAUUUUCAUGACGCACAUGUGACUUGUUCCCGGUAAUCCCGGCAUUUUAUUUGCUUAAGUAAAAUAACGAAAUAAAAUGGUUAAUAAAUACACAUUUGUGCCCAG
Molecule: long non-coding RNA, 5078 nt
Filed under: Salmo salar (Atlantic salmon)
Lineage: Eukaryota; Metazoa; Chordata; Actinopteri; Salmoniformes; Salmonidae
Description: lncRNA (ENSSSAG00000083363.1)
Source: RNAcentral